AUUGAACGCUGGCGGCAUGCCUUACACAUGCAAGUCGAACGGCAGCACGGGUGCUUGCACCUGGUGGCGAGUGGCGAACGGGUGAGUAAUACAUCGGAACAUGUCCUGUAGUGGGGGAUAGCCCGGCGAAAGCCGGAUUAAUACCGCAUACGAUCUACGGAUGAAAGCGGGGGACCUUCGGGCCUCGCGCUAUAGGGUUGGCCGAUGGCUGAUUAGCUAGUUGGUGGGGUAAAGGCCUACCAAGGCGACGAUCAGUAGCUGGUCUGAGAGGACGUCCAGCCACACUGGGACUGAGACACGGCCCAGACUCCUACGGGAGGCAGCAGUGGGGAAUUUUGGACAAUGGGCGAAAGCCUGAUCCAGCAAUGCCGCGUGUGUGAAGAAGGCCUUCGGGUUGUAAAGCACUUUUGUCCGGAAAGAAAUCCUUGGCCCUAAUACGGUCGGGGGAUGACGGUACCGGAAGAAUAAGCACCGGCUAACUACGUG
RNAcentral lists this ribosomal RNA (486 nucleotides) under uncultured bacterium. RNAcentral's name for it is "partial 16S ribosomal RNA". It matches the Rfam family "Bacterial small subunit ribosomal RNA", at positions 30 to 507 of the family's 1533-position model. The record is from RNAcentral.